AAGAAUUAGUAUUAGCGCAACAAACUAAUUUCCAGCCUCCAGUUCAGGAGAAUGACUAUUCAGAUCCUUGAUGAUACCAAGUGAGUAACAACUUACCUGAAACCUCAAUUUAUUUUGUUGAUUUAAGUGUAUGUUAUUAUAUAUCAUUUGCGGAAUUUAUUCUUCUGUUGAUUACGAAUUUGCUGGUUUUGCAUAGUUAUUAAUCGUAUUACUGGUUUCUUAAUGUUCGCUAGUGGUUGAAGUUCGAUAACGCAUACUGGAGUUCGAUAACCCAUACUGGUUGUUAAAAGUGAACUUUCUUGUUUAAUAUUGGAUGAACUCAAAAUAGGCAAUAAAGUCUGCUACUGUAAUAACAUUCAGUUAUUUCCAUGCAAGAUGAUUCCUAAAUUGCCAAUAAACAAUCAAGAGAAUAACAAGAAGAUACACAAGUUUUGCUUUUCCAGACUUUAGCUUACUAUCAAAACAUAAACAUCAAGAACAAAAGUAAAUGCCUACGAAUAUCCAAGUAUAUGAAUAUACAUUCUAGGUUCUCUUCUCAUAAGCAAGGAUAGGAACAGGUGAAUGGUAGUUCAUCUGCUACUGUUGCUUUUUUUUUUGCUGACAUCUUUUAGUCAUUCUCUAAGCUAGAUCUACCUUGGGUCUAUUUCUAGAGAGGUCUCUAUCACCUAAAUUAUACACUUCUAUACCUACUAAACAAACUGUUCUUUUUGUCAAUUACUAAUUCUUGGCAACUAAAAUCCAGUGACUCCAAGAAGAAAGUUAAAAAUCCAACAUUGACCGGACCAAGUAACAGUUAGUAACAAGCAUAAAAUAGCUCUCUUUUUAUGUUUCAAGCAUGGGUGAUGGGUCUUAGAGGUACAAUUCCUAAAGAAUUAGGAAAUCUCUCUUUUGAUUUCUCAUGAUAUGAGUGGCAACUAUUUUCAGAAGAUCUGGUUAAUUAACGAUGACAAUGAAGCAUCAAACUAGAUUAGAACAACUUCCAUCAUGGUUGGUUUCUUGAAUAGGAUUCAAGUUUUGAUUCUAAGAAAUAAAGGUUUCAAAGUUUUCAAAAAGGCAAUGAUACACCUUGGGUCUAUUUCUAGAGUGGUCUAUAUCACCUAAAUUAUGCACUUCCAUACCUACUAAACUUACUUUUCUUUUUGUCAAUUCCCAUACCUACUGUGAUAACAUUCCGUCUACACUAUUAUAUAUAGUUUUUCUAACUGAAAUUUCUUAUUUCUUCUACAGGUUUUGGAUAUUGAAGUUUACUAGAAGCAGAUUUUUGACGACAUACAGAUUAACCAUCAUUUUCCUGGGAAUUUCAAGAAAAUUUUACAUUACAAUCGAGGGAUAUUAGUGAUAUGUAGUUUUUUGCUAAAUGUUUAUGAACACAAUAUUGUUACUAGCUUACAUCAUUAAUGUAUGG
RNAcentral lists this long non-coding RNA (1405 nucleotides) under Nicotiana tabacum (common tobacco). RNAcentral's name for it is "long non-coding RNA (NTAB_LNC011694)". Lineage: Eukaryota; Viridiplantae; Streptophyta; Magnoliopsida; Solanales; Solanaceae. The record is from RNAcentral.